RNAcentral lists this unclassified non-coding RNA (378 nucleotides) under uncultured Paenibacillaceae bacterium. RNAcentral's name for it is "contains 16S-23S intergenic spacer region". Lineage: Bacteria; Bacillati; Bacillota; Bacilli; Caryophanales; Paenibacillaceae. The record is from RNAcentral.
UCCGGUUUGUCACCGGCGGUCAGCCUAGAGUGCCCACCUUAACGUGCUGGCAACUAAGCUCAAGGGUUGCGCUCGUUGCGGGACUUAACCCAACAUCUCACGACACGAGCUGACGACAACCAUGCACCACCUGUCUCCCCUGUCCCGAAGGCCGCUGCUAUCUCUAGCAGAUUCAGGGGGAUGUCAAGACCUGGUAAGGUUCUUCGCGUUGCUUCGAAUUAAACCACAUACUCCACUGCUUGUGCGGGUCCCCGUCAAUUCCUUUGAGUUUCAGUCUUGCGACCGUACUCCCCAGGCGGAGUGCUUAAUGUGUUAACUUCGGCACCGAGGGGUGGACCCCCCCGACACCUAGCACUCAUCGUCUACGGCGUGGACUAC